CGCACCCUGCGCGGUUCGAUUUGUUGCGGCUUUAUAUGAUCCUACUAAUCAAAUAUAGGGAGCCCGGAAAAGUCCUCUGCCGGAUCGCAGACCUCCCGCCCCGCUUCGGCGGCCAGCGGAAGAAGGGAGUGUGAACGCAGCGGCAGGGCACCCACCUGCUCAUAACAGUAGGUUUUGAUUGGUCGCAGACGGCUGUGCGGGGUAUAU
Molecule: non-coding RNA, 207 nt
Filed under: Gemmiger formicilis
Lineage: Bacteria; Bacillati; Bacillota; Clostridia; Eubacteriales; Oscillospiraceae
Description: 6S RNA
Rfam family: 6S / SsrS RNA
About the family: E. coli 6S RNA was the first non coding RNA to be sequenced, but its function was unknown until recently.
Source: RNAcentral